RNAcentral lists this non-coding RNA (491 nucleotides) under uncultured Glomus. RNAcentral describes it as "SSU rRNA". It matches the Rfam family "Eukaryotic small subunit ribosomal RNA", at positions 569 to 1057 of the family's 1831-position model. RNAcentral also lists the same sequence under 1 other name. The record is from RNAcentral. Lineage: Eukaryota; Fungi; Glomeromycota; Glomeromycetes; Glomerales; Glomeraceae.
AGCAGCCGCGGUAAUUCCAGCUCCAAUAGCGUAUAUUAAAGUUGUUGCAGUUAAAAAGCUCGUAGUUGAAUUUCGGGAUUGGCGCAUCGGUCGUGCCUCACGGGGUAUGAACUGGUGCAGUCAAUUUCUCACCUUCUGGAGAACCGCGAUGUCCUUAAUUGGAUGCCGCGGGGAACCAGGACCUUUACUUUGAAAAAAUUAGAGUGUUUAAAGCAGGCAUUUUUGCUUGAAUACAUUAGCAUGGAAUAAUAAAAUAGGACGGCAUGGUUCUAUUUUGUUGGUUUCUAGGACCACCGUAAUGAUUAAUAGGGAUAGUUGGGGGCAUUAGUAUUCAAUUGUCAGAGGUGAAAUUCUUGGAUUUAUUGAAGACUAACUACUGCGAAAGCAUUUGCCAAGGAUGUUUUCAUUAAUCAAGAACGAAAGUUAGGGGAUCGAAGACGAUCAGAUACCGUCGUAGUCUUAACCAUAAACUAUGCCGACUAGGAAUCAGA